UCGUAACAAGGUUUCCGUAGGUGAACCUGCGGAAGGAUCAUUACAGAAUGAAAAGUGCUUAACUGCAUUUUUUCUUACACAUGUGUUUUUCUUUUUUUGAAAACUUUGCUUUGAUAGGCCUUCUAUAUGGGGCCUGCCAGAGAUUAAACUCAACCAAAUUUUAUUUAAUGUCAACCGAUUAUUUAAUAGUCAAAACUUUCAACAACGGAUCUCUUGGUUCUCGCAUCGAUGAAGAACGCAGCGAAAUGCGAUAAGUAAUAUGAAUUGCAGAUAUUCGUGAAUCAUCGAAUCUUUGAACGCACAUUGCGCCCUUUGGUAUUCCAAAGGGCAUGCCUGUUUGAGCGUCAUUUCUCCCUCAAACCCUCGGGUUUGGUGUUGAGCGAUACGCUGGGUUUGCUUGAAAGAAAGGCGGAGUAUAAACUAAUGGAUAGGUUUUUUCCACUCAUUGGUACAAACUCCAAAACUUCUUCCAAAUUCGACCUCAAAUCAGGUAGGACUACCCGCUGAACUUAAGCAUAUC
This 520-nucleotide unclassified non-coding RNA is filed under the name Lodderomyces parapsilosis. Its description in RNAcentral is "Candida parapsilosis sequence contains 18S rRNA gene, ITS1, 5.8S rRNA gene, ITS2, 28S rRNA gene". The stretch from base 194 to 347 matches the Rfam family "5.8S ribosomal RNA". Lineage: Eukaryota; Fungi; Ascomycota; Pichiomycetes; Serinales; Debaryomycetaceae. The record is from RNAcentral.